Molecule: long non-coding RNA, 624 nt
Filed under: Meleagris gallopavo (turkey)
Lineage: Eukaryota; Metazoa; Chordata; Aves; Galliformes; Phasianidae
Description: lncRNA (ENSMGAG00000021230.1)
Source: RNAcentral
UUUUUUUUUCCUUGGGGAUUCUCCUUUCUCCUGCCAAACUGACUUGCACCUUCUCGAUAAUUUCUCUUCCCCUCGUUUUUUAUACUCUUCUCCCUGCUUCCAAACCCUGUGUCUGUGUGUUUCAGUACUAUCACAACCUCUGCUAAAAAUAGAUCUUUUUAUAUACCCUUCCUCCUCUCUGACCCCAUCCAACACCCCUUGUUAAGUAAUAUCAUACGUGCCUUUUUGACCACUAGCGCAGCUGCCUGGAUCUUUUUACAGAGCUGUCCAUGGUGGUUCUGAAGCUUGUUUCCUCAACAGCAAGAUCCAGUAGUGUGUUUGAAUAGUUAGCAGGGAACCGUCUUAAACCCAGGGCAAGAAACGUAAAGUCAUUUGGCUGUCCCUUAUCUCUAAGGGCACCUGAUGCAUAAGUGGACUAGAGAAAGGAAAGAAAGAAAAACCUCCAAAGACCUACAGAUCAUCUUGCUGGCAGGCAGGUCAAGCUUUCUAUGGAUUAAGGCAGAAUUGUGGCUCACAGAGAUGGAAUGUGAUUGGUAUUUUCAGCAGCAUUUUCAUGUCCCAGAAAAACUGCAGCAACUGAACAAAGGGAGCAACAUACUCAACAUCUUUAGAUUUCGUCCUUGA